RNAcentral lists this ribosomal RNA (348 nucleotides) under uncultured Desulfobulbus sp. Its description in RNAcentral is "bacterial SSU rRNA". It matches the Rfam family "Bacterial small subunit ribosomal RNA", at positions 1034 to 1382 of the family's 1533-position model. Lineage: Bacteria; Pseudomonadati; Thermodesulfobacteriota; Desulfobulbia; Desulfobulbales; Desulfobulbaceae. The record is from RNAcentral.
ACAGGUGCUGCAUGGCUGUCGUCAGCUCGUGUCGUGAGAUGUUGGGUUAAGUCCCGCAACGAGCGCAACCCUUGCCUUUAGUUGCCAGCAGUUCGGCUGGGCACUCUAAAGGGACUGCCGGUGUUAAACCGGAGGAAGGUGGGGAUGACGUCAAGUCCUCAUGGCCUUUAUGACCAGGGCUACACACGUACUACAAUGGCCGAUACAAAGGGCAGCGACACUGCGAGGUGAGGCCAAUCCCGUAAAAUCGGUCUCAGUCCGGAUUGGAGUCUGCAACUCGACUCCAUGAAGUUGGAAUCGCUAGUAAUCGUGGAUCAGCAUGCCACGGUGAAUACGUUCCCGGGCCUU